RNAcentral lists this ribosomal RNA (253 nucleotides) under uncultured bacterium. RNAcentral describes it as "partial 16S ribosomal RNA". It matches the Rfam family "Bacterial small subunit ribosomal RNA", at positions 524 to 776 of the family's 1533-position model. The record is from RNAcentral.
UACAGAGGUCUCAAGCGUUGUUCGGAAUCACUGGGCGUAAAGCGCACGUAGGCGGCUUGUUAAGUCAGGGGUGAAAUCCUGGAGCUCAACUCCAGAACUGCCUUUGAUACUGGCGAGCUUGAGUCCGGGAGAGGUGAGUGGAACUGCGAGUGUAGAGGUGAAAUUCGUAGAUAUUCGCAAGAACACCAGUGGCGAAGGCGGCUCACUGGCCCGGUACUGACGCUGAGGUGCGAAAGCGUGGGGAGCAAACAGG